Molecule: ribosomal RNA, 371 nt
Filed under: uncultured organism
Description: partial 16S ribosomal RNA
Rfam family: Bacterial small subunit ribosomal RNA
Source: RNAcentral
GUAGGUGGCAAGCGUUGUCCGGAAUUAUUGGGCGUAAAGCGCGCGCAGGCGGUUCUUUAAGUCUGAUGUGAAAGCCCACGGCUCAACCGUGGAGGGUCAUUGGAAACUGGAGAACUUGAGUACAGAAGAGGAAAGCGGAAUUCCACGUAUAGCGGUGAAAUGCGUAGAGAUGUGGAGGAACACCAGUGGCGAAGGCGGCUUUCUGGUCUGUAACUGACGCUGAGGCGCGAAAGCGUGGGGGAGCAAACAGGAUUAGAUACCCUGGUAGUCCACGCCGUAAACGAUGAGUGCUAAGUGUUAGGGGGUUUCCGCCCCUUAGUGCUGCAGCUAACGCAUUAAGCACUCCGCCUGGGAGUACGGCCGCAAGGCUG